Phialemonium atrogriseum is the source of this 81-nucleotide non-coding RNA. NCBI's taxonomy places the organism in Eukaryota, Fungi, Ascomycota, Sordariomycetes, Cephalothecales, Cephalothecaceae. The record is from the annotation of a RefSeq genome assembly.
GGGUUCUUAGCUCAGUGGCUUAGAGCGGAUGACUGCAGUGAUGUCUUCAUCAGGUCGCUGGUUCAAUUCCGGCAGAGCCCU